RNAcentral lists this ribosomal RNA (917 nucleotides) under uncultured Gammaproteobacteria bacterium. RNAcentral describes it as "bacterial SSU rRNA". It matches the Rfam family "Bacterial small subunit ribosomal RNA", at positions 10 to 920 of the family's 1533-position model. The record is from RNAcentral. Lineage: Bacteria; Pseudomonadati; Pseudomonadota; Gammaproteobacteria.
AGUUUGAUCAUGGCUCAGAUUGAACGCUGGCGGCAGGCUUAACACAUGCAAGUCGAGCGGUAACGGGAGAAGCUUGCUUCUCGCUGACGAGCGGCGGACGGGUGAGUAAUACUUAGGAGUCUACCUAGUAGUGGGGGAUAGCACGGGGAAACUCGUAUUAAUACCGCAUACGACCUACGGGAGAGAGGGGGCAGUUUACUGCUCUCGCUAUUAGAUGAGCCUAAGUCGGAUUAGCUAGAUGGUGGGGUAAAGGCCUACCAUGGCGACGAUCUGUAGCUGGUCUGAGAGGAUGAUCAGCCACACCGGGACUGAGACACGGCCCGGACUCCUACGGGAGGCAGCAGUGGGGAAUAUUGGACAAUGGGGGAAACCCUGAUCCAGCCAUGCCGCGUGUGUGAAGAAGGCCUUUUGGUUGUAAAGCACUUUAAGCAGUGAAGAAGACUCCAUGGUUAAUACCCAUGGACGAUGACAUUAGCUGCAGAAUAAGCACCGGCUAACUCUGUGCCAGCAGCCGCGGUAAUACAGAGGGUGCAAGCGUUAAUCGGAAUUACUGGGCGUAAAGGGAGCGUAGGUGGCUCUAUAAGUCAGAUGUGAAAUCCCCGGGCUUAACCUGGGAACUGCAUCUGAAACUGUAGAGCUAGAGUAUGUGAGAGGAAGGUAGAAUUCCAGGUGUAGCGGUGAAAUGCGUAGAGAUCUGGAGGAAUACCGAUGGCGAAGGCAGCCUUCUGGCAUAAUACUGACACUGAGGCUCGAAAGCGUAGGUAGCAAACAGGAUUAGAUACCCUGGUAGUCCACGCCGUAAACGAUGUCUACUAGUCGUUGGGUCCCUUGAGGACUUAGUGACGCAGCUAACGCAAUAAGUAGACCGCCUGGGGAGUACGGCCGCAAGGUUAAAACUCAAAUGAAUUGACGGGGGG